AUUGAACGCUGGCGGCAGGCCUAACACAUGCAAGUCGAGCGGAUGAAGGGAGCUUGCUCCUGGAUUCAGCGGCGGACGGGUGAGUAAUGCCUAGGAAUCUGCCUGGUAGUGGUGGAUAACGUCCUGAAACGGGCGCUAAUACCGCAUACGUCCUGCGGGAGAAAGUGGGGGAUCUUCGGACCUUACGCUAUCAGAUGAGCCUAGGUCGGAUUAGCUAGUUGGUUGGGUAAAGGCCUACUAAGCCGACGAUCCGUAACUGGUCUGAGAGGAUGAUCAGCCACACUGGAAGGGGGACACGGACAAGACUCCUAAGGGAGGCAGCAGUGGGGAAUAUUGGACAGUGGGCGGAAGCAUGAUACAGCCAUGCCGAGUGUGUGAAGAAGGUCUUCGGAUUGUAAAGCAGUUUAAGUUGGGAGGAAGGGCAGUAAGUUAAUACCUUGCUGUUUUGACGGUACCAACAGAAUAAGCACCGGCUAACUUCGUG
RNAcentral lists this ribosomal RNA (484 nucleotides) under uncultured bacterium. Its description in RNAcentral is "partial 16S ribosomal RNA". It matches the Rfam family "Bacterial small subunit ribosomal RNA", at positions 30 to 507 of the family's 1533-position model. The record is from RNAcentral.